This is a long non-coding RNA of Populus euphratica (Euphrates poplar), 246 nucleotides long. RefSeq lists it as uncharacterized. The record is from RefSeq and is a predicted model, not a curated record. The transcript has 3 exons. Lineage: Eukaryota; Viridiplantae; Streptophyta; Magnoliopsida; Malpighiales; Salicaceae.
AAAAGAGAAGAUAAGGGAAGGGAAUAAGAGAAGAAGUUGAGUCAGACCCACCUAUUUUCCAACGUUUCUCGCGACGGCGCAUGAACUCACGCGCUACCAGUGGCGGUGGCACGUGGAGAAGAUACGUCGCCACUGUUCAUAUUGUCCCUGGGCUUCACAGAACCCUUCCCUACAAUUCCUGGAGUUUUAGAGGCUGUUUUGUAAUUUUUAAAGUGUUUAAUGUAUUUUUUGUUUAGUUUUUGAAUU